Physcomitrium patens is the source of this 1900-nucleotide long non-coding RNA. RefSeq lists it as uncharacterized. Lineage: Eukaryota; Viridiplantae; Streptophyta; Bryopsida; Funariales; Funariaceae. The record is from RefSeq and is a predicted model, not a curated record.
UCGUCAAGUGUGCGACGGUGUCGCUCUCGUCUCCUGGUUCUUGUUGGUAGUCUAGUAGCGUUGAUACUAGUUGCUGGACUUGGACGUUGCCGAGUUCCUGUUCUAAGCGAUUGUGGUUUCAAGCGAGAUGCUACUUCUACUCCCGUUCGGCAUCGGCUCCAUGGUUUUCUCCUAGCUGCUGGUCUUGUCCAUGUUUUUUUAUAGUUGUUAAGCUCCUACAUUUUUGGAUAUGUAGGUAGGUCUUACCGUUGAUGUUGUACCGCUGGAAUUGUGGUCACCCAGCUUGGUUCCCUUUGAGCAAAUAAGCCAAUUUUGGUGAUUCCCCCUCGCCUCGUUUGCGGAUCUUCUUCGUCAAAGUCUUGUUCUAGUGUUACUUUCAUCUUUCGUGUGGCGCUGCGGUGGCCGCUGGAGCUCCUAAUUUGGCGUUGUUGACAUCCGAUUCGUGUUGUGAUUCCGUCCUUGGCUACGCUGAGUUCUCCUCUGCUGUCGACGGCUCUGAAGAAAUCUCAUUGGAGGGGCAUUGUUCUCUCACUGUUCAGCUGUUCCGGCAGUGAUGGCUCGAACUUCAUUCCUCUUCUCUCAUCUGCGGUUGGAGCUGCGGACUAUCUAUCAGCCGGGUUCCUUGUCGUGAUAGGGUUGUCGUCUACCUCGCUCUACUUUGAUCUCGUCUUACAAGUCGGGAGGAUUCCAGACUUGUAGAAGGAAGCAAUCAAGUGGUUGUUCUCUUUUGCCGUUCUAUGGCCAGCUACCACUCCAAUUGGGUUGCAGGUCCCCUCUUUGACAACUCUCAUGCUUUCUGCGCUGAUCUAUUUUUGUUAAUUUGCCGUAUCCUUGAAGUGGUUAUGCCUCCAUAGUGUUGCUUGUGGACAAGGUGAAGAGUGGCAUUCGACUGCUAAGUUCUCUUGUUCAAUCUUUUGUAUACUAGAGGUGUUGGAUUGGCGUCUUUGACAUUCUUUCAAGCGGUGGUUGUUUCUUCCUUGUCAUUGUGGAGUUAGAAGAGCAGCAAGCCCUCAGCCUGGUGUGCAAAUUGUAGAGUUUUUUCCAUUGGUGACUUGCAAAGAGGCGACCACUCUGGACAGCGGCGGUGGCUAUUUCUUCUGUUGAAUAGGAUAUUGCGGGCUUGUGCCGACCUAUUGAUUCUAGUAUUUGACAAUCGUGCGGCCGAAUUGCAACUCUGAAUGCUUUACGGAACCUAGUGCAACUGUUUAAUUGAUGCUAGUUUAAGGAGUCGUGAGAGAAGGUUUGACUUCCUGUAGAUAUAAAAUCCAACUUGAGCAUUUCGUAAGGCACCUCAUUUGAUUAUAACAAAGUGGGAAAAUAGUGCAAAGGAGUGUCGUAGGUGGUCUGGUGGUUCCAAGCUAUACCUCCCAUGUGUUGUCGGAGAUUUAUUGAUCUGUCACAGUAGCAAGGAAGAAGGUAGCUCCUGAAGGAUACAUAAUUCAAAGACGUGUAUUUAUUUUAUGAACUACAUACAAGGGAGAGAAUACUAUCCUUAGUAUUGUUGCACUGAGGACGCCAAGGCAUCUCCAACCAGACCAUCAAGGUUUGGUGUGAAUCUCAAGUAAUAUAUUUCCACGGAUACCACGUAGCAGCGAAGAGGCACUGCUGCAACGGUUCAGGUUACAGGAGAUCAAAUUCGCAAUCCCGCAAGACCGAAGCAGCUGCUUCAGGCUUGUCUUUGACAUACUUCAUAGUCGGUGAGCAGAUGAAGGUGGACGGAAAUGAACCUCUACGUUGGAUGAAGCUAGAUUAGAGAUGAAUGUAGUUAGGUUAGGAUUUGAAGACAAUCAAGUUGGAUGAAUUUUUACCCAAAGAUGAAUUUUGAUUGUGGAUGAAUUAUUAUUUACAGAUGAAAUAUCAUUCAAGGAUGAAAUUUUGAUGAAGAAUGAAUAGUCAUUUG